Oryctolagus cuniculus (rabbit) is the source of this 883-nucleotide long non-coding RNA. RefSeq lists it as uncharacterized. The record is from RefSeq and is a predicted model, not a curated record. Lineage: Eukaryota; Metazoa; Chordata; Mammalia; Lagomorpha; Leporidae.
AUCUGGCAGCCAAGGAAAUUCAGCUUAGAGAGGAGAGCGGGUGAAGCCUGGGACUAGGUAAAGUCUGACAGCUGGAGCACAACGGAUGCCCACUUGUGCUCCGGCUGUUUUGCAUGGCCAGACAUCUUGCUCACAGGUUUGGGAAGGAGGAAGAACAGGCUGACAUGGACAAUCGCUUCUUGCUGGGAGUUACAGGGAGGAGAUGCUCAGUUUCAUCAUACGCCAUUCAAGGGGAAUUCACGAAGUUCAAGGAGGGGCUGCCACUUCGCCACAGCAGUUAACAUGCUGCUUGAGACACCCAAGUUUCCUAUUGGAGUUCCUGGGUUCAAGUCGUGGUUUUACUCCUGAUUCCAGCUUCCAGCUGCAGUACACCCUUGGCAGGCAAUAGGACCCGCUUGGAUAAUCUCCACAUCAGAAGAGCCUUGCGUUAGUCACAUCUGCAAUUUCUUUUCAUAUAAGAAAUCCUGCUGCCUGGGAAGUUGUGCUGUACUGCUAUGGAAUUAUCACAGAAGCUUAUCUGACAAUUAUGAUAUCACAUCAAGAAAAUAUGACUUCUAAAGUAUGAGAGAAAACUUUUGCAGCACCAUGACCAAUCACAUUUUGGUUUGGAAAUAAAAACUAAGGUCUAUAUGUGAUAAUUAGUUGAGUGACUUCAGUUGCAGGAAUCCCUCUAUCCCACCCAAGGCUGGCUGUCAGCGUCGAUGAAAUGGAAUGUCAAACUGAAAAACUCUAAAGCUAUUUCUUCCAUAUUAGAAAAUCACUAGCAAAUCACAUCUUCCUGCACUACUGGCAAGGUAAAAAAUAAAAAAUUAGCAAAUUUCUCUCUCCUUGUUUCAUCAAACUUUAAUCUAACUUGUUUACCUCUAUUGUGGGACUGAUCACA